This is a long non-coding RNA of Passer domesticus (house sparrow), 4873 nucleotides long. RefSeq lists it as uncharacterized. The record is from RefSeq and is a predicted model, not a curated record. NCBI's taxonomy places the organism in Eukaryota, Metazoa, Chordata, Aves, Passeriformes, Passeridae. The transcript has 3 exons.
CCUUCUGUCCAAUUGCAUUUUGUUACAAGAUUUGCAGUUAGGUUCCUAAGAGUCCCUGGUUUCUCCCCACGUUAUUUUGUCGUCUCUCUGCUCAGCCAUUGCCCUCUGCCCUUUUGUGCCCUUUCAAAGGAGGGCUAAAGCUAUUGCUGCUGCGGUAUGGAAACAAAGUGCCUCCUAAUUGAUCGUUAAUACUGCUGGAGUGUGAGGAUGUUGGGAAUUGCUAGAUCAAGCCCAUUUACUCCAGCUUCUGGGUCAGCCCUUCAGAUGCUAUAAAUCAGAAUCCCUUCCUGCCUCCUUCACAGCUCAGUGUAGGUUUGCACCACAGAGGAGCUGGGUCAGGGGCUCUGCUCUGCAUGAGCACCAGAUCUCUGCUUCAGAAUAGUGGUAGUUUAUUUCCAGAAGCCUGAGAAUUAGCAGUUCUAGUACUGCUAUAAUUAUCAGCAAUUUAUGUGAUGGGGGGAGAAACAGAAGGCUUAAUUUUUCAGAAAGAAUACAGUUUAAAACAAGUUUUCUAAUCCUGUGAGAUGCCACAGAGUUACAUGAGUGGGCACAGUCUCAAUGGGUUUUCUAAGCCAGUAGAGGCCCUGCUUUUUUAACAAAAUAUCCUGUCCUAUGGGGGGUUUGACUUCAUUCAUGUGGGGAUUACUUAAGCCUGUCACAACUAUCAGUUCAAACCUUCUCUCCAGGCUUGGCUACUUUUCUUUCAUGAUUAGAGCAUUUUUUUUUUUUUUGACUGGGAGACCUCGCCCUAGUAUUUAAGGUGAGAGCUGAUGACUCAUAACCAAAAUAAGAAAUGAAGUGCCACUCCUUAUACCUCUCCCCAUUUGCUAGGAAAGCAGUAGGAAUUGCAUCAUCACUCAUUGCAGAGAGAAGCAUGAUCACUAUGGGGGGCAGCCCUCUGCAAAUAGUGAAAACCUUGAGGAUUUCUUAAUUUAAAAAUAAUCCCAUGGCCUGAGUGGUACCAGGUUUGGAGAUUCAUACAAGACUACCCAGGGAGCUGCAGCCUUGAGGAGGCUGGCAGAACCAGCCAGACCUGUGGUGGUUUGGUCAUUCGUCGGUUAGAACCAGAUUGUGUCUCAUCCACCUCGCCCUUCCCAGUGAAAGUGAGCAGAGGGAGGGCUGCACGUCCUAAUGAGAUAAUGACAGGACAGUCCCACACCCGACCCAAAUCCCUGACAGAAAUCAGCCUGUGCUGGGAAGAAUGACAGAGGAUGCUCUUUUGGCUCUUUCUUGUAGGAGCAUCUGUGGAUACAGCUCACCUGUUUCAGCAGAGGGACCUUUCUGGCUGAGCCUGUGCACUAUGUGAAGAGAGAAACAGAGCAGUUACAUAUUCCAGAUUCUUCAGGGAUUGAAGCACCAUUGGCAUGUACCUCAAGUAGAACUUCUGGUUUAGUUUCCUUCACAAGGAAUAUGAUUCAUAUGCACAAAAACAGCAAAGGAUAAAUGGGAAUGAUGGAGAGAUUUGCUGCAGAGCUGCUCUGCUCUCCUAAAUGCCAGCAUGGCUGGGGAUCCACUGGAAUGGAUUGUCAUCUAUUCAAGCACUGUUAAAGGACAACAAACAGACUUUGACACGGGACAGUCCUCUGACCAACCAUGAGACCAGACAAUAAUAAGGAAACAUGUAACUGACUCAUAAUGUUCAAAAGGAAGUUUUUGGAGAGGAGAGAGGAAGAGACAAGCAUACUUCAGUAGCCUGGUGGGGGGUAGUCUUCAGGAAAAAACUCUUGAGCCCUAAGGAAACUGUUCCAGAUGGAAAAGAAUCUGAGAGACAAAACAUGUAGGGUUCAUCUGAUAUGAGCUGGUUUAUUUUUGAGUCAUUCCAAAGAGACCAAGAAAAGAAGUGGUGUCUUUGCCCAUUUAUACUGAAAAGCAGUUAGAACAUGGAAGAAAACUCAAUAUGGUAUGAACUGCCACAGCUGUGACAGUGGAUGGGGGCUCCAGAGUCACUCUGUGGGGUGACUCAGCAUCUCAAAAUACUGGAUCAUGGUUACAUGAAGAAUUUUUAACAUCAGGAUAAAGCAAUGAGAAAAGGUUUUGCAUUUCUAAUUUAGUUAAAUUUCAGAUCCAGAUCUAUUUUAACAUUAUUUAAGCUUAAAAUAUUUGUGAAAAUGUUUAAUUUUAGCAAACUUCUACCAGAAAGGAAAUUAAAAGCAAAGAGAGGAUGUUACCACUUUUUUUUUCUCUUUGUGGGGAAAAAACCCAGAAAGAUCGUCUAUAGCUUCUUUUCCUACUCACAAAAUGAAAUAUGUCUAUGCAGAGAGAUUGAUCCAGUCUGGUUUUUUUUAGUUGAAAUGUACCCAGCAGUUCUCUGCAUGCCCCAUAUAUCCCAGCAAUUUAUUACAUGAUGUGAAAGUCAGACUCUCAGAAAAUAAAUACCUUGGAGCCAGCAGUAGCCAGAAGCUGAGGUGUCCAAAAAUGAGUAUUAAUCUGGAAGGAAAAGGGUGACUAACUGGAGACUUAAGAGCUGUGUUGCAGGGAUGUGUGUGGUUCCUGGAGAAGCUCAUGCUCAAAUUCUUGUGAAACACACCAUUUAGCACUCGCUGCUCUCCAGUCACAUUCUUUCACUUGACUGUUUAUAUUUACUCACCUUUUUCUGCCUUCUGAUCUUUGCCAUAGCUUUAUAAUUUUCAGUUUGCUUCACUAACAUUAAGAGCAAACAGUGUACGACCGAGUUAGACAUGGCCGGGGAAAUGACAAGGAACAUGGUGUCUGAGUCAGGCCUUAUCCUGAGGAGCCAGGCAAGAUUUUAGUUAUUUCAAUUGCCUUCUCUAUAUCCCUGUGGUGCCCCCCACUGAAGAUCACGAGAGUGAGGCGAGGCCUUUCUCUGUUACCAUGUUACCAGAUAGGAAACAUCUCCCCCAGCUGGGGAUGUGGGACUGGAAGGGGACACCCAAGUCAUCCCAAGUGACUCCUGCAAUGGUGAGGGAGAUAUUUAAUGACAGGAGGCUCCUCAGCAUGGUAACUCCACAUCCUCCACCAUGGAAAUGCUUCCUCAUGCUCCUCAGGAUGAAUAAGAACUAUCGUUUAAAAAAACCAAACCAAACCAAAAAAAGUGAAUACCCUGUGUCACUGCGGUAACAGAAGACUUACUGAAUUAAACUUCCCAGCCAUUACAGAGAGCAACAGUUUUCUGUUCCAUGUUACAGAAAAAGCAAAGGAAAAAACAGCUUUUAAUGGAACAGAAAUUUCUUAGUAAUACUGAGGAUGUGAACGGGAUACAUUGACCAGAUAACUUAAGGAAUGUAAUGGCCACAUCUUGGACCAAACAACUUUUCCUCUGAUCCAAAUACAUCUGCUACCAGAGAAGAGCAAUGACAAGCUGUCCUGUGUUGUGUGAAAUAACCUGUCCCUUGCCCCAAGAAAGGGAAGGGGAAAGAGGGUACCUAUAUAAUGCAAUGGUGUUCCAUCUGUCUGUCUUCUGUCCUGCAGUGCAAAGUCUGUUGCCAUUACUCCAUCAAAAUUAGAAAACAAAAGUCUAUGUGCAUUAAAUAUAUGCUUCUCUUACAAACUAUAGGUUGCAGAUAACCAUAGGAAGUGGCUGCAGUACUUAAUAAGUCUUUAGCUCUGUCAAAGACACCUAUGCUGAAGCAACUGUAGCUGCCUAUUAUCCUCUAAGAGCUGUUGAAGUCCUGUCUGUAUUUACAGGCUUUCGGUAACAAAACUGUGCCCUGUGGAUGGGGACCAGCUGCUAGUUCAGGGCACAGAACCCUCUACAAGCUGCUGGGGGUUGUGACUGGUCCUCUCUGUCACCCUUCUGAGCAAGGGUCAAGCUGUUGCCAAAUUGCUGCAUUUCUCCCAAAAAGACAUGGAUGAACAGACGAGAGGGAACACGCUGUUUUGUAAGUCCCACGCUGAUUAUUUUAAUGACCAUGAGCCCUUCUGGAAACCUUGUGGGGGGUAGAGAACAUCACAGAUGUGACAGGAGCCCAGCAGCUGACUAAACGCAGUCCUGGGGGACCCACUUACUCAUGGACUGAUGCAUAUGCUAACAACAGACAUCCCAUCAUCCUUACUGCCAUCAUAGUUGUAACUAUGAGGAUCCAAGGUAAACCCCAGCAGUUUUCAGCUGUAAUUCCCAGUCAAUGGGAAUUGUCCUGAUUAAACUAAGAGUGCAGCUCAUCGAGUAUUUGGAACUCCACUUAAAAGUAAAUAUUGACACAGUUUAAAGGGAUUAACUAAGAUGACUGGAUUCUUGUUAAAAACUUUUUGCGAGUAAAAAGAGCCUUUUACAAAGUCUUCACAGUGUUUUGAGAUGUCAUUUCCUGUGAUAAAAUGGAAAAAGGGGAAAACUUGUUUUAAAAGUAUAUGAAAAUCUCAUGUUCCUAAACACUUACCUUUAAAUGACCAACUCUUAAUAUAAUAGUGCUCAUAAAACUACACAUCAAGUAGCUCUGUGUGUGACUUAUUAAAGAACAGUGGAUGAUGCCACACUGCCAGCAAAGAGGUAAAUAGAUUACAUUUCCCAGACCCAUAUUCUUCACUGUAUGCAAACAACGUGAAGUGAUUGGUCCUGAAUUUUGUCUACUUUUAUUUCUCCUAAGUGCAGAACGUUUUGCUUCUCUUCAUCAGUCACUCUUGUGUAUACAAUAAUACCUGUAAUAUCAGCUACAGAAGAGAUUUAUAGGGAUGGAUGGAUGGAGGGAUGGAGGAAGGAAGCGAAGAAGGAAGCAAGGAAUAGGAUGUGGCCACAGUGCCUGCUCUCCAGGAGGAAGGCUGAGUGGUCCCCCCGGAGCCCAUGAUUAACCCAAAGCCAGAGAGGGAGGCUUUCCUCCUGCUCUGUGGUGGGAUAACCCCCACGGCAGCUCUGUGCCCGACCCCGUGCUUAUCUCCCGAUGGAGCUGGAGCCUGCAGUUUCCCCAGAGCCACUAUCAGU